UGGGGAAUCUUGGACAAUGGGCGCAAGCCUGAUCCAGCCACGCCGCGUGAGUGAAGAAGGCCUUCGGGUUGUAAAGCUCUUUUACCAGGGACGAUAAUGACGGUACCUGGAGAAUAAGCCCCGGCAAACUUCGUGCCAGCAGCCGCGGUAAUACGAAGGGGGCUAGCGUUGUUCGGAAUUACUGGGCGUAAAGCGCACGUAGGCGGAUUGUUAAGUCAGAGGUGAAAUCCCGGAGCUCAACUUCGGAACUGCCUUUGAUACUGGCAAUCUAGAGUCCGGAAGAGGUUAGUGGAAUUCCCAGUGUAGAGGUGAAAUUCGUAGAUAUUGGGAAGAACACCAGUGGCGAAGGCGGCUAACUGGUCCGGUACUGACGCUGAGGUGCGAAAGCGUGGGGAGCAAACAGGAUUAGAUACCCGGGUAGUCCCUGAGCGGGCUGGCAAGGCGCAU
Molecule: ribosomal RNA, 447 nt
Filed under: uncultured bacterium
Lineage: Bacteria
Description: bacterial SSU rRNA
Rfam family: Bacterial small subunit ribosomal RNA
Source: RNAcentral